RNAcentral lists this long non-coding RNA (824 nucleotides) under Homo sapiens (human). RNAcentral describes it as "HSALNT0321741". The record is from RNAcentral. Lineage: Eukaryota; Metazoa; Chordata; Mammalia; Primates; Hominidae.
UUUUGAUUGUUUGGUCACACCACACUACAACUCAAACAUUCUGAGCUGACCCAGUGGGGACAUGCAAACAUUUUCCAUAAGAGCCUUGUGGUCAGUGAUAUACAGGUUCAGAAUUCUGGGAUCUAUUAUUAACAAGCCAUGAGAAGUCAGAAAUCCUUUCAAGCUCUUGUACUCUGCUUCUUUGACCAUCACAAGAGAAUUCAACUUUCUGUUUAACUUAGAAAGGCUUGGGAUAAAGGGCUCAAGCACCUCUUACUGCCUCCUCACUCUGGAACCAAAUGCCUUACUGUAAGUGGCAUCUAGAUCUUGCCAGUGACUUUCCUGUACAGGGCCUAAACUCAAUCUCUGGUUUUCUCAGCAUUUAAGUGACAGGAUCACAGAAUGUGAAUUUUGAACAGAUCUGAAAAGUUAUUAAGUUCAACUCCACAGAGGUUCCUAGGAGAAUGUUAACAGUCCAGACCUUUUUCACUACAUCAACCACGGAUGAUUGGCAUAUAAAAUCCUACUUAACCUUUACAUAACUGCAAUACCAGGAAACAAAUAUGUCAAUAAAAGGAAACAUCAUUCAAUUUUUCUGAGAAUGCAUUCUUCCAUCAUUCCUGAAGUAGAGAUGAGGGAAAGCACAGAUCAUUCCUAAACAGUCAAUUCUAGAGCCAGUCCUUCAGUUCAAGAAUAACUCAACAGCCUAGAGAGAAGAAAAUAAGAAGCUAUAGUGAACAAAAGAAGAAAAAUGAAAAGGUGACCACCAGGAGAAUGAAGUAUAUUGGAGAAUAAAUGUCCCACCGUUUCCUGAUUUCUUGUUGAUGGCCUGGGCUACACCAACA